CUCAGUUCGGAUUGCAGGCUGCAACUCGCCUGCAUGAAGUUGGAAUCGCUAGUAAUCGCGCAUCAGCAAUGGCGCGGUGAAUACGUUCCCGGACCUUGUACACACCGCCCGUCAAGCCAUGGAAGUUGGGAGGACCUGAAGACAGUUGCUGUAAGGCGCUGUUUAGGGUUAAACCGAUGACUGGGGCUAAGUCGUAACAAGGUAGCCG
This 208-nucleotide ribosomal RNA is filed under the name uncultured bacterium. RNAcentral describes it as "partial 16S ribosomal RNA". It matches the Rfam family "Bacterial small subunit ribosomal RNA", at positions 1287 to 1502 of the family's 1533-position model. The record is from RNAcentral.